RNAcentral lists this ribosomal RNA (255 nucleotides) under uncultured bacterium. Its description in RNAcentral is "partial 16S ribosomal RNA". It matches the Rfam family "Bacterial small subunit ribosomal RNA", at positions 524 to 776 of the family's 1533-position model. The record is from RNAcentral.
UACGGAGGGUGCGAGCGUUGUCCGGAAUCACUGGGCGUAAAGGGCGCGUAGGCGGCCUGAUAAGUAGGGGGGUGAAAUCCUGCGGCUUAACCGCAGGGCUGCCUUCUAAACUGUCAGGCUCGAGCACAGUAGAGGCAGGUGGAAUUCCCGGGUGUAGCGGUGGAAUGCGUAGAGAUCGGGAAGAACAUCAGUGGCGAAGGCGGCCUGCUGGGCUGUUGCUGACGCUGAGGCGCGACAGCGUGGGGAGCAAACAGG